AGGCUCCUGGUUUUGAUGUUUGGAUAGUGCCUGUUAUUCAAGGUUUUGUACAAAUAAAUGCUGUACCUUUAGAUCCUGGUGUUUCUGUGUCUUCUCCUGAGGACAGUUCCGAUAGAACAAAGUUAGACCAUUAUGUUUUGACCUUAAUAUCUAGAAGAAGUCGGUUUCGCUGUGGGACAAGGUAUAAAAGGCGGGGAGUGGAUGAAGACGGAAAGGUUGCCAAUUAUGUAGAAACCGAACAGAUUAUUUCUUAUUCUCAUCAUCGAGUUGCAUUUAUACAGUUACGUGGUUCUGUUCCUGUGUUUUGGAGUCAACCAGGUUACAAAUAUCGACCCCCUCCUAGACUAGAUAAAGGUU
Macrobrachium nipponense is the source of this 357-nucleotide long non-coding RNA. RefSeq lists it as uncharacterized. The transcript is spliced from 3 exons. The record is from RefSeq and is a predicted model, not a curated record. Lineage: Eukaryota; Metazoa; Arthropoda; Malacostraca; Decapoda; Palaemonidae.